UACGUAGGUGGCAAGCGUUGUCCGGAUUUACUGGGCGUAAAGAGCGCGCAGGCGGUCGUUCAAGUCGCGUGUGAAAGCCCCCGGCUCAACUGGGGAGGGUCACGCGAUACUGAUCGACUCGAAGGCAGGAGAGGGUAGUGGAAUUCCCGGUGUAGGGGUGAAACGCGUAGAUAUCGGGAGGAACACCAGUGGCGAAGGCGACUACCUGGCCUGUUCUUGACGCUGAGGCGCGAAAGCUGGGGGAGCAAACGGG
This 253-nucleotide ribosomal RNA is filed under the name uncultured bacterium. Its description in RNAcentral is "partial 16S ribosomal RNA". It matches the Rfam family "Bacterial small subunit ribosomal RNA", at positions 524 to 776 of the family's 1533-position model. The record is from RNAcentral.